AUUGAACGCUGGCGGCAUGCCUUACACAUGCAAGUCGAACGGCAGCACGGGUGCUUUCACCUGGUGGCGAGUGGCGAACGGGUGAGUAAUACAUCGGAACAUGUCCUGUAGUGGGGGAUAGCCCGCCGAAAGCCGGAUUAAUACCGCAUACGAUCUACGGAUGAAAGCGGGGGACCUUCGGGCCUCGCGCCAUAGCGUUGGCCGAUGGCUGAGUAGCUAGGUGGUGGGGUAAAGGCCUACCAAGGCGACGACCAGUAGCUGGCAUGAGAGGACGACCAGCCACACUGGGACUGAGACACGGCCCAGACUCCUACGGGAGGCAGCAGUGGGGAAUUUUGGCCACUGGGCGAAAGCCUGAUCCAGCACUGCCGCGUGUGUGAAGAAGGCCUUCGGGUUGUAAAGCACUUUUGUCCGGAAAGAAAUCCUUGGCCCUAAUACGGUCGGGGGAUGACGGUACCGGAAGAAUACGCACCGGCUAACUACGUG
Molecule: ribosomal RNA, 486 nt
Filed under: uncultured bacterium
Lineage: Bacteria
Description: partial 16S ribosomal RNA
Rfam family: Bacterial small subunit ribosomal RNA
Source: RNAcentral